UUAUCUAUCUCUUUCCCUCUUAAAAGAUAGAUUUUCUCUCCCAUAGACGGUCCAUGGACAAUGUGUGCAUAGCUCACUCCAUCUCUCUUUCAUCUAAACAUCAUUUUACGUCAAUGCUCCCAGAUGGCAGGAAACUCCAGUUAUGUGCAAUGCUUAAAACCUAUGCAGUAUGAGGCCUUGGAUAGCCAGGUCUGGUCCACGGUUCAUGGAACGUCAG
RNAcentral lists this long non-coding RNA (217 nucleotides) under Helianthus annuus (common sunflower). RNAcentral's name for it is "sRNA HanXRQr2_Chr08g0361041". Lineage: Eukaryota; Viridiplantae; Streptophyta; Magnoliopsida; Asterales; Asteraceae. The record is from RNAcentral.